AGCAAAGUUGAGCACUUGGAGCUUUUGAUUGAGUUUUCCCCCAUCUCCAAGCUUGGAUCAUCAAUCCUCUAGUUCUUCAAGAGGUAAGCAUGGAUCCUCACCUCCCCUUAUGUUUAAAGCAAGUUUUAAGAAGUUUUGGAGAGUUUUAUGGCAUGUUUUGGGGUAUAAGCAUGAGUUUGAGCAUAUGUUGAGCAUAUGCGUGUUGUUGUUUUUGGGGCUUGAGCUAGGUUUUAGGCCUCUAUAUGCAUGAGAUAUG
Molecule: long non-coding RNA, 256 nt
Filed under: Manihot esculenta (cassava)
Lineage: Eukaryota; Viridiplantae; Streptophyta; Magnoliopsida; Malpighiales; Euphorbiaceae
Description: long non-coding RNA (MESC_LNC003842)
Source: RNAcentral